GACAGGGCCAGCACUAAGACCUCCAGGGGCCGGGGCCUUUAGCUCCAAGCCUGGGGUGGGCUCUGGGGCAGAAGCAGCCAUUGUCACAGUAGCUCAGUGACAGCUGCACUCUGGAUUAAGGACAACCAGAGUGUCUGGUACAAAGAGAAAUCAAAAAGGUGCAAAGUACACAUGGGCGGGCUGAGCUCAGUCAGCUUCUGCCUCCCAGCCUUCCCAUACUUCUAAAUUUGCCACGGUAGACCUGGACAGCGUAGAGGCGAGGCACCGCUCGAGGGGGUGGGGGAAGAGACAGACAGGCGCUUCCAGGAAGCCUUCCCUGUUCCUUGGGCCUCUGAGCUAAUUUCUUGGACCUUGAAAAAUAGUUAAAUUGUAUCCGUGUCCAUCUUCCUCAAGAGCAAGCCCUCAGAGGACAGGAAUCGGAAUGUGCCUACUGUAUCCGAUUUUUCCUCUGCACUCACUGGAGAAAGAAUCUUGUUGCAUCCAAGAAACCCCCUCUGGAUCAUCCAAUUCUGUUCCAGCUGCCCACCAGUUCCCAGAGCCACAAAGGCUUUCUCCUUCCCUCUGCCUUGACCUCUGGCCUCUCCUCUAUGGAGGUCAUAAGUGACUCUCAUCCGCUGACCUAGGACUCUUUUCUUGCAACCCAGCCUGCAUACUGAGAAAUGGCAUCUGAAAGCAGCUGAGAGGAAGACCAGGUGCAUGGGAGGUGCCCACCACUGGCCCUUGACUCAACGUCUCCCCUUCACAACUCUUCUUUUUUAUUUUUACAAAUUUGCCAAUUUUUAAAAAGAUGGCGAAAGAAGAAACCCUUCCUGUUGUUUGCUGGGGAAGGAAGGUGAGGGUGGUAUCCCCUGGGUGGACUUUCUCAGUAAUGCAACUACAGAAAAGAGGAGAACAAUGACUUCUCUAAGACAUACAAGGAUCUGCACAGAUAAAGAUACAUUUGGGGAGUCCUGAAGCUCCCAGAAUCCUAGAGACCGUUGCUAACAGCCUUCGGAGGUCACUCCAAGCUGCUCACUUUACAGAUGAAGAUCAACCCCCAAAGAUGAAGGGAGUUGCUCUGCUGCAGCCAGGCAACAGCAAAGCAGGAAACACGGACCCUGAUGCCCUGCCUGCGUCUAGAAACGUCUACUGAACCCACUGCUAAUUGCAGUGAGGGAAUAUUAUAAUGAAAACGAGUCAACUUCCUGUCCUUCAGGAAUCCACAAUCAAGUGAGGGAAAAAAGGUACAUGCACAUUAAAAAUUACAAAUAAAAAUCCUGCAGACACUUGGCAGACUGGCCCCGCUGCCUGCCUAUCAGGGGCUGUCCCCCAGCACGUGGCUGGACGCCCAUCCUGAGUCUGAUGUGCUAUCUCAGAUCCUUGGUGAGGAGACAGGACCCUCCGACAGCCAUCACAACGCGCCACCCCGCCCGACACCCAACACUGGCUGCCAGAGGAGAGCCCUGUGCCAAGUGCUCCCACAGCUCCCGUCCCGGCAGAUUCUUUGGAAACUGGCCCUACCCUGGCACCCGAGUGAUCCAGGGAUGACCUCAUUUUCUCCUGCCAACUGUAAAGAAUGAAGCACCUUACGCAACCUCACAAGGAAAGUGCUUGGCAGAAAGCCAACAAAGGGCUUGAAGUCCCAGAGAGGCUCCUGUCUAGUUUCAACACCAGGGCGACUUCACUGAAUGUCUAAGAAGGUGUCAUUGACUCCCAUGCGGGAGGAAUUCAAGGAAGUCAUCUAGUUCUGGGGCAGAUAAACUCCUAAAAGGGCCAGGAAAAAAAAUUUAUGAUGUUUCUUAAUAUGAGCAGUUGAAAGCUGCUAUUCGGGCAAAAGUUAAUAAGUUAGUUUCUAUGUGUGUCAGACGGCCUGGGUUCUACAGUGGCCUCCAGCACCAGUUUGCUUAGCAACCUGCAACAAUUCUCUCUGUUUGUCUAGGGUCUGAGUUCCCAAUGUGCAAAAGGGCGGGGGUGAACUAAAAUAUCUCUCAGCAGCUGUCUAGCUCGAAUAUUCCAGGAAUCAACUCACGUACUUCCUUAUGAGACAACGGCUAAUUUCUAGUCUUUUCCAACAUAUCAAAAGCAUCUGAAGAACAGAGCGUUCCAAGUGAAUCCUGCAUAUCACUGAGGGAGAAGGGACAGAAUGCAGGGACUGACAACUUCCCGGAUCCCUCCCCAUCAGCCGAGAAACCACUCUGUUGCUUACUUGGUACAGACGCUCAAUUUAUUUCAAACCUUCUUUACAUUGUGUCUAAAAACUGAAGUUAACCCAUAGCAGAUUAUUGCUAAGAAAACUGCUCAAAAAGAAGCUGGAAUCUAUAGAUCUAAAGUCUAAAAACCACCGCAGGAUGUGGAAGAUGUGGCUUGGCAACUGCACGCACGUUGAAAAGGAAGAAAACAACUCCACUUACGGGUUCGAGUUGAUGAGAAGCUGAACAGAAGUUCAUGAUAUAAUAAUAGAUGCCAAAUGAGCUAAUGCAAUUCCAGGUUGCUAGGAUGAGACAGAACCCCACAAAGAUGGUAGCGCUGUUCUUGCCAUGCAGCUUUCUGUUUCAGGCGGCACACGAUAAAGGGAAUAAUGACCAACUGUGGUCUAGCGAGAGGACAGCACCAGGCCGGGGAGGGGAUGGAAACCAACUAAAUGAGGCACGGUCGGAAGCACAGAGGUUCAACCAGGAGAACCGGCAACUGCGGAGGACUGCUCAGCCACCAAUGCCAACACACCGAUGCCCGGGAGCGUGCGAGAGGGAUGGCAGACUCGGCCGGGACACAGAACUGGAAGGCAUAUGUGAAAAGAUGCCAAGGAGUGCGUCAGUCUGAGGACCUGAAUUAACCUGCGGGCAAGAUUGCAACAACAGGAGUGUCAACGCACGUAGGUGAGACCCAGGUACACUCCUUGCAAGCAAAUGCUGCUCACCCAGAAGCACAUUGAAAGAACAGGCUUUAAACAUAUUAUAUGGCUUUAAUGUAAGGGAGACUUCCCACUGGUGUGUGAUGGCCAGUGGGGCACCAGAAAUGGGCUAUAGGGGCUGAGACAUUGAUCCUCUCACCCCUUGGAGCAGCCAGGUGGGUCCCGAGGUGGCUGGAGCUCCUGAGACAAUUUCCUCCAGUUGUGAGCAGGCUUGUUUUUUAAUCCCGAGGAUCUAUAAAGUGUUAUCCUUUUCUACAUGUGUUGUGGUAUAGAAAAGCUUGGAAAGCACUGGAGAAGUAGGGUGUUCAUAUGAUAUUUUGUGUAAAUGGAGACAUUUUUGAGGAUGAAAGGGGCUGUAUUAAUAUGUACGCCAGGACCCCAGGCAUAUAGUGGGACUCUUCUAGGUAAACCGGGAUGUACGGCGGAGGAGCAGGUUAAUCCCCCCAAAGACAUUUACGUCCUAGUCCCCACCCCCUGUGAAUGUGUUACCUUAGAUGGCAGAAGAGACUUUGCAGGUGUGAUUAAGUUGAGGAUCUUGGGGUGAGGAGAUUAUGCUGCAUUAUCUGGGUGGCCUGAUGUCAUCACAAAGGUUCUUAUAGGAAGGAGGAAGGAAGGUCAAGAAGAAGAAGAUGCUCUUCUGCUGACUUCGGAGAUGAAGGAGCCACAAGCCAAGGGAAUGGGGGAGGCCUCUAGGAGCUAGAAAAAGGAGGAAGCAGAUUCUCGCCGGAGCCUCCACAAAGAAGGCAGCCCUGCCAACAUCUUGACUUUGGGACUUCUGUAAGGGUCAACAAGCCCUUUCUGGGCCAUGGGGAUGCAGUGAUGCAGCACCGGAGGCCAGCACCUGCACUUGGCUCUGGGACCACACCCACUGGAGGAGGUUUUGCUUCUGGAAAAUAAGAUUCAGGACCCUGCCCAGUUUCCACUCAUCCUUUAUAGGGGGAUGUUCGUGAUCACCACCCUGUGCAUAAGCCUCAGGCCUUGGCUACCUCAAGUUUGGGGUCACCACCCAGGCAAGCAUCACCCUCAACCUCCCCAACUGUUGGUGAGUGAGAUCAGGCCUCAAGUCAGAAGGAUGCCAUGCAGGUGGGGCUGGCUUGGCUUCCGCUUAUCAGAGGAGAGUAGCAAGGUAUGAAUGAGGAUCGUCUCCAGCAUGGAGAAGAGAUGCCAGGAAACUGAACUGUGGAAAGAGGUAGACCGGAUAAAUCAGGAGACCUGGAUUCUUGUCCAACAUGGCCAAUUAAUUCUCCUGUGUUCUGGGCAAGAUAUUUCUCCUCUCUAUACUUCAGUUUCCCAAAGAAAGGGAUUAGACCAAAUGGUUUCUGAGUGCCUUCCCAACUUUGACUGAUGUGUUAGUCAGUUCUCUCAUUUGCAAGUGACUGAAAACCAAUCCAAACUGGCCCAAGUUUUAAAACAAAAAGCAGACAGAAGUCCUUGCACAUAUCUGACUUCAGGCAUGGCUGGAUCCAGCUACUUAAAUGGUAUCAUCAGGACUCAGUCUGUCUCUAUCUCCUAGGUUUAUUUUUCUCUGGGUGGGCUUUAUUCAAGUAGACUUCACACGCACACAGUGGCAGAUAACUGCUGGCAGCCUCUCAGUUACCGGCCCUUCUCUCAUCAACCUUGAUGUAAAGAGAGUUUCUCUUUUCCAAAAGGCCCAUUGAAAGCCUUGGGAUUAAUUCUAAUCCCCACAGCUUGGGUCACAUGUCCAUUCUGAACCAGUCCUAUGGCCAGCAGAUGAAGUAUGCUGAUUGGCUGGGCCUAAAUCACAUGCCUUAGUGGGAUGGGGUCAGGAGUUCCCUGAACCUAGCGAGCUGAGAGUGAGGACAGGGUGACUUCAGGUUAACUGAAGAGGUAAUGGUUGCUGGGUCAAUUAAUCCAACCAAGGUCCCUUAGAACAUAUCAUAAUUACGGUGAAAUCUGGGGACCACAGAUCAUCUCAUAGACACUCUUACAACUUCUCAGGAAGCCAGGCAAGAUGUGGGGAUCAUUGCAAAGGGCAGUAAGGGGGAUGUCACUAGAGGGUGGCCAGCAGCCUCUUCUCCUUUUGCUCACCAUCUUGACUUUCUAAAAGCGCUCAGGUUCUCAGGCACAUGGACCUUUUCUCGUAUUCUGUUCCCUGCUCUGAGCCCUCACAUUAACAUCCUCACUGGGAAUGUGCUGUGUCUGUGCUCAGGGUGAAUACGAAUGUGUUGGGUCCUUACAGGCAGAUACAGGAAGCGUCAAGUGAUGAGCUACAGCUGAGCGCUGUCUACCUGGGGGCCAGGAUUGGUGCAAGGAUCCCGUGAGGUCUUCCAGAGGCUACUGGUAUCUGUAGAUGGAUCUUUCUGAUUCCCUUGGUCGUCCGCAGUUUGAACCAGUCUGUCAAGCUCCUCUCCUUGGGCCGUAUGUGCCUCUCCUACCCCUGCAAUUCCACGUCCCCUUGGAGAUCAUCACACCAUUCACCAUGUCCCGGGUGCUGAAGCGCCGGCCUUCGUGGUAAACCUGGACGUCCACCCUGCCAUGGUCUGUCUGACCAUGAGUAAAAGGCAAGCAGCCUUGCUUCUCUCCUGCCCCUCCACCAAACCCCAGAAGUUUCCAGGAGUCAGGCCGCCAGGACCUCCCUAGCGCAAUGCAAAGUUCCAGGCACAGUAGAUGUUUGUGGAAUUAAGGUGAACCUAAGUGGGACUCAUCCGUUAGGUUCUUUGGUGGCAAGCAAGAGAAUACAACUCUGGCCAAGAAGCUAAAACAAAGGGAAUUGGGGGUUCCUAACAGAGUCGAAGGAAGAGCUAAAGAAGCAGAUGUCGAAAAAGACCAAAACCGGGCAAAGCCUGAGAUUGGAGUCAGAGGAAUUAAGAGACUCUGCCUCUGAGAUAAAUUUCUUCCAGCUGUCUUCCAUCCUUGGGCUCUCUGCUCAAGAUGCAAAUUCUAUGGAGAGAGAGUCCAAUCACACAUGCCCAUCCAGUGGGCAAGGAAUGGUGGGGAAUUCUGAUUGACAAUGCCACCAAGAACGCCAUGCAGUGAGAGAGGGAUGAUACCUCAAGUCAAACAUGGGGUUCUGCACCAAAAGAAGGGGGAAUCAAUGGUGGGGAUGUUAAUAGCAGCAGUCUACUUUGUGUGGACAUCACCAUCCAGAUGACAGAUGUCACCAGGUAAGGGUAGCUGUGAGAAACAGGGAAGAGUCAGAUAUGACAUUAGCCAACUUAGAGAAAUGGUCACAGCAUCUUGAAGUACUAAAAACAGCGAAAGUUGUAGAUCAGGAGGAAACUAAGUUCAACACCCAGCUCUCUAUUUUUAAAAGGCUUAAUCUGAGAACCUGAACAAUGAUCCCUGAGCUUCCUGGAAUUGUGUGCAAACACGGUAUGCAAAGGCAUGCGUUAUUGUUGGUUUGUUGUGGUUGCCAUUGUUUUGGGGUGUUUUUUUGCAAGGAGAAUCCCUAGUUCCCACCGACUUGUGAAAGUGGUCUGUAAAACAUUAUGAGUCUGUUAACAAGGAGGCUGCCCUCUCUCAGACAGGCCCCAGUCAGAAUCUCCCUCAUCGGAGCUGUGGGGCGCCAUCUUGGUUGCUAUUUCUACCAGGCACAUGGAUGAGGAUGGAAAUAGCCCCACUUUCUCAAUUUGAAAAAUGAGAGUCCAGAGGAAACCGUCUCAGGCAUUUUCAGUUUAGAUGGUGAUUAUGGAUUCUUUCUCCUUGGAAAUUCCCAGGAUCUCCACAAUCUGCUCAGAACUAGGUAAAAAAUGUGGUUUUCUCUCACAGCCUACCAUGAGCGAUUUGAGCAGGGGCCAUGGCCACAAAAGGGUGCACAGUUCAGUCUAAAGUUCCCCAUCUCCAGGGAGCGAGGGCCCAGGGUAGGCACAUUUCCAAAUUUACAAGAAGCCAGAAAACUUGAUUUUAUGUAUAUGUAUGUAACUUUUCCAAUUUUUAAAUAGUUGUAGCUAAUUCAAAUUGUUUUUUUUUUUAAGAUGUGGCCCUCAGGUGGCCAAUUUGCAACUAGGAUCUAGAUUUCAUUCCCAAGGUAUUUAUGAGGGCUUCUGAGCCUCUCUCUCUCUCCUCUCUCAUAUACCCAAAUGCACACAUCCUCACUCUUAUUUAAAGAAAAUGAGAUUGCUUGAUAAAAGAGGUUUCCUUCUGUUUCUUCUGGCUUUGUAUUCUUUGUUGGAAGAUCUUCAGUUUCCCCAGUAAGGUGGUUUUAAGUCUAUAAAUGGCAAGAGUGGAACUGCUUAUAUUGUGAGGUUGGAAUAAGCAUUAAUGAAUGAGAUGUUGAGGGGGACAUAUUUUAAGCUCAGUAGAACAGAGAACUGCCUUCUGCUGGAUGAGAAGGGAAUAGUGAAUGCCCCAUCUCUGAAAGUAUUUAAGCAGAGGUAGGUCAACCACUCAUCAAGGGAGGAGUAGUUCUGCUAUAUGGCUUAUGAGAGGUUCCUUCCAAGUCUGAGAGUCCCUUUAUUUACCUAAUAAAUCAGUAAAAAAAAAAAAAAAUUUGGUGAUUAAAUUACUGAAUCUAAAGGAUGAUGUUUUUGUAGCCAUUGUCUGAGGCAUUGUAAAUAGUAGAUUGUGGAUGUCAUGAAACAUAUCUGUGUGGCCUGAAUACGUUUACUCUGGAUGCGUAGACUGUUUUCUACACCUUGUCUGACUGAAAUACAUAACCCGCAGAUUUCUCUUCCUCCAUUGUUUCUUACUGACUCACCUCUAAAAUUUAUGAACUCAGUUGGAGGUACACUGAGUCAAACCUCUCCAGCAAGUAACCAGUAAUUCAUGGAGCAUCAGAUAAGGGAGCUGAGGGCCAGAGACCAGAGGCUGCAUGUUGGGUUACCCAGAGAUUGAGUUUCAGAGCCAGGACUAGAACAUAGGUCUCCUGAUCUCUGAGCUAGGGGCUAUCAUGUCAUGCAGGUUACACUAGGAGGGUUUCUGUAGUAUAAAAACAUUUCACAAAUUUAUGUAGAACUUCAGAAAUUAAGACAUUUACCAUGACUGGGGUAAGGUUGUUCUUAACAUUCCCUUAUUAUCCUUUUAAUGUCAGUAGGAUCUGUAGCGAUGUCCCAUCUUUCAUUUCUGUUAUUGGUGAUCUAUGUCUUCUUCCUUUUUUUCUUGAUCAGUGUAGGAAGAGCUUUAUCGAUUUUAUUGAUCUUUCCAAGCAAAUAGCUUUUGGUUUUAUUGAUCGUUUUUCUGUUUUCAAUUUCCUGGAUUUCUCCUGUUAUGUGUGUUAUUUCUUCACUUCAGCUUGCUUUGGGUUAAAUUUUUAUUUCUAGUUUCUUGACAUGGGAGCUUAGAUCAUUGAUUAGCAUAAGCAUUUAAUGCUAUAAAAUUUCCUUUAAGCCUGCAUUAAUACAGUAUUCACUAACCACAUGUAGUUAUUAAGUCACUUGAAAUGUGACUAGUCUGAAUUGAGAUGUGCCAUAGUGUAAAAUAAACACCAGAUCUUGAGAAUCUAGUAUAAAAAGUGUAAAAU
Equus caballus (horse) is the source of this 8309-nucleotide non-coding RNA. The record is from RefSeq and is a predicted model, not a curated record. NCBI's taxonomy places the organism in Eukaryota, Metazoa, Chordata, Mammalia, Perissodactyla, Equidae.